GUGGGGAAUUUUGGACAAUGGGCGAAAGCCUGAUCCAGCAAUGCCGCGUGCAGGAUGAAGGCCCUCGGGUUGUAAACUGCUUUUGUACGGAACGAAAAGCCUGGGGCUAAUAUCCCCGGGUCAUGACGGUACCGUAAGAAUAAGCACCGGCUAACUACGUGCCAGCAGCCGCGGUAAUACGUAGGGUGCAAGCGUUAAUCGGAAUUACUGGGCGUAAAGCGUGCGCAGGCGGUUUUGUAAGACAGUGGUGAAAUCCCCGGGCUCAACCUGGGAACUGCCAUUGUGACUACAAGGCUAGAGUGCGGCAGAGGGGGAUGGAAUUCCGCGUGUAGCAGUGAAAUGCGUAGAUAUGCGGAGGAACACCGAUGGCGAAGGCAAUCCCCUGGGCCUGCACUGACGCUCAUGCACGAAAGCGUGGGGAGCAAACAGGAUUAGAUACCCCAGUAGUCC
RNAcentral lists this ribosomal RNA (450 nucleotides) under uncultured bacterium. RNAcentral describes it as "partial 16S ribosomal RNA". It matches the Rfam family "Bacterial small subunit ribosomal RNA", at positions 354 to 796 of the family's 1533-position model. The record is from RNAcentral.